UGCGUAGGUGGUUGGUUAAGUUUGAGGUGAAAGCUCCGAGCUCAACUCGAAAAAUGCCUUGAAGACUAUCUGACUAGAGGAUUGGAGGGGAGAUUGGAAUUCUCGGUGUAGCAGUGAAAUGCGUAGAUAUCGAGAGGAACACCAGUGGCGAAGGCGAAUCUCUGGACAAUUCCUGACACUGAGGCACGAAAGCCAAGGGAGCAAACG
RNAcentral lists this ribosomal RNA (207 nucleotides) under uncultured bacterium. RNAcentral's name for it is "partial 16S ribosomal RNA". It matches the Rfam family "Bacterial small subunit ribosomal RNA", at positions 568 to 774 of the family's 1533-position model. The record is from RNAcentral.